This 253-nucleotide ribosomal RNA is filed under the name uncultured bacterium. Its description in RNAcentral is "partial 16S ribosomal RNA". It matches the Rfam family "Bacterial small subunit ribosomal RNA", at positions 524 to 776 of the family's 1533-position model. The record is from RNAcentral.
GACGUAGGGGGCAAGCGUUGUCCGGAAUUAUUGGGCGUAAAGAGCGUGUAGGCGGCCACACAGGUCAGCUGUGAAAACUCGAGGCUCAACCUCGAGACGUCGGUUGAAACCGUAUGGCUAGAGUCCGGAAGAGGAGAGUGGAAUUCCCGGUGUAGCGGUGAAAUGCGCAGAUAUCGGGAAGAACACCCGUGGCGAAGGCGGCUCUCUGGGACGGUACUGACGCUGAGACGCGAAAGCGUGGGGAGCGAACAGG